This 255-nucleotide ribosomal RNA is filed under the name uncultured bacterium. RNAcentral describes it as "partial 16S ribosomal RNA". It matches the Rfam family "Bacterial small subunit ribosomal RNA", at positions 524 to 776 of the family's 1533-position model. The record is from RNAcentral.
UACGGAGGGGGGCUAGCGUUGUUCGGAAUUACUGGGCGUAAAGCGCACGUAGGCGGCUUUGUAAGUUAGAGGUGAAAGCCCAGGGCUUAACCCCUGGAAUUGCCUUUAAGACUGCAUCGCUAGAAUUGUGGAGAGGUAAGUGGAAUUCCGAGUGUAGAGGUGAAAUUCGUAGAUAUUCGGAAGAACACCAGUGGCGAAGGCGACUUACUGGACACAUAUUGACGCUGAGGUGCGAAAGCGUGGGGAGCAAACAGG